GUGUGUAUUGACAGGUGGUGGAACAAAUAUGAGUUUUUGAACAUUAGUCAAACAAAAUUAAACUCAUAUUAGUUCUACCUCCUGCUGAAGCCCACA
Brassica napus (rape) is the source of this 96-nucleotide non-coding RNA. NCBI's taxonomy places the organism in Eukaryota, Viridiplantae, Streptophyta, Magnoliopsida, Brassicales, Brassicaceae. The record is from Rfam.